UUUGCUUUUUAUUUAUGAUACUUCUAAAUUUACUCUAAUAAUUUAAUAUGUUAUAUUUUCCAUGUAACAUACCAACUUAGCCUCGUUUUUCUGUAGUUGGUAAUAUUUGUCUUUUUGUUCUGCCCCUAAUUGGUGGUGUGGAUAGCCUUACAGGGUCGCAAUAGAGUAGCAAUCUGACUUGAAUGUUUGUUGAUUAGAUAAAAUAAUGGUAAUGAUGUUUAUCCUAAGAUGAUUAAGCUAGAAUUUCCACCCCAAACAUGCUUUCUAUAAUUAAUCGCCUAAUCUUUUGUGUGUUUCUGGUGAGGUGCCUGGUAUUCUUACUAGAUAUGCUACUCUUUGUUUCAGUCUUAUAUAAAGCUAAAACAAAAGGGAUUGGAAAAACAGAUCACUUGUUCAAUACGUAUGCAAAUAGUUCCUUAGGCAUGAUUGAGUAAGUACAUUCCGUGCACAUUCUUUAUAUUUUUAGAGCUAAAAGCAUGGUGGUAUCAACUUUUUCUCUGGCUAAAUGGGUGAUCGGUAUCAUCAUUUAUGAAUAGAAAAUAAUAGAAGGCUGAAUAAAUUUAUUAUAUUUAUCCAAUUCAUGCUGUUAAUUUUCAAGGUCAAGAAUCUUUCUCAAACUUAUGGUUCUUAGAGGUGUUAAAUCUAGUUAUCAUUUCUUUUAAAUCGCCAUUUGAACAUGAUGUCAAUGAAAAGCUUGUGAACCUUCUUAAAUUGUUGUUUGAACAUAAUUUCUCACAUUUUAUUGUAUGGUAUGUAGAGAUAUUUCAUUGGGUCAAAAAGUGAUGAGUUUCGCCGGAAAGAAAGAGCUGUGCCAUUUUUUUAAAAGAAAAAUCCUUACCUGACUGUUAAAGAAAUUUUGAUCAUUUUGAUGCGAGGCGAUAAACUGUAACAAAUGUAAUUUGUCUGGAAAUUUUUAACAUAUGCCCUACCGGAAGCAAAAGGAGAGAUUUUCUUUAGAUGAUUGCUUGCUUAUCCUUUUUUAAUCCCUUAGUUUGCUUGAGCAGUCCAGAAGGUAUUGAAGCACAAUGUGCAGAUCUAGACGUGGAUUACACUGAUGUGAGGAUAUUGAUGCGAGCUUGGAAAUUAAAGCUGAAAAGCAGGGCUAUUUUACAUAUUUAAGUAAAGACACUACUUAUAUGACUUGUUAUAUUCAACGGGAUACCAGAAUAGAGAAUGUGAACUGCCGUUAGAUGAAUGACCACUUUUUUCCUUCUCUUGCAUUGAACUAGGAUGAGUGGCAAACUGGCCUGAAAGCAUUGGGGGUCCAGCGAGGAGUUCCUCUUUGAGCUGACUAAGCCACAGAUUGGUUUCAGUCAAAAUGAUUUCGAACCCUUGGAUAAUAUAAUGAUGUACAUGAUCAAAUCGGAGUUAAAUAAGGAGUCCCCAUUGUUGGAUGGAGAAUUUGGAUUCGAUGCGUACUCCCUUGGAUCAUGUAUAUGAGAAGGCUGAUGCUGAUUCUAAGAUAAAAGAUGGUUGCUUCAUUUAAUAUCUUGUCGAAAAUUAUGACAUCUUCCUUU
Molecule: long non-coding RNA, 1517 nt
Organism: Hibiscus syriacus
Lineage: Eukaryota; Viridiplantae; Streptophyta; Magnoliopsida; Malvales; Malvaceae
Exons: 3
Source: RefSeq, a predicted model, not a curated record